This 459-nucleotide ribosomal RNA is filed under the name uncultured bacterium. Its description in RNAcentral is "partial 16S ribosomal RNA". It matches the Rfam family "Bacterial small subunit ribosomal RNA", at positions 338 to 795 of the family's 1533-position model. The record is from RNAcentral.
CCUACGGGAGGCAGCAGUGAGGAAUCUUGGUCAAUGGGCGCGAGCCUGAACCAGCCAAGUCGCGUGAGGGAAGACGGUCCUAUGGAUUGUAAACCUCUUUUGUCGGGGAGCAAAAGACGCCACGCGUGGCGUUCCGAGAGUACCCGACGAAAAAGCAUCGGGUAACUCCGUGCCAGCAGCCGCGGUAAUACGGAGGAUGCGAGCGUUAUCCGGAUUUAUUGGGUUUAAAGGGUGCGCAGGCGGGAGAUCAAGUCAGCGGUAAAAGUGAGAGGCUCAACCUCUUCGAGCCGUUGAAACUGGUUGUCUUGAGUGAGUGAGAGGGAUGCGGAAUGCGUGGUGUAGCGGUGAAAUGCAUAGAUAUCACGCAGAACGCCGAUUGCGAAGGCAGCAUACCGGCGCUCAACUGACGCUCAGGCACGAAAGUGUGGGUAUCGAACAGGAUUAGAUACCCCGGUAGUC